AGCAUGUCUUCCGCCACAACCUACAUCUACCUCACCUCAACAAACAACCCACAAGCAGUCCACGAUGGCGAGGUACUCGACAACAAUGCCUUGUGAGAAAUCCUCCAAACGAUUUUUGGAACAUUUUAUUCACCUCUCAUUCAGCUGAUGAAAACACACUGCGUGAUCAUGAGGAAGUAUUACAUCAAGAUGCAAACUGGAAUGCAGGAUUCAUAUCCCGAGGUUACCAGAGCCACCCAGAUCCAGCUUCAUUCCUUCGUUGGUGUUGGACUCCACUGCUACUUGUCUCUGAGUGAUGACAACUAAAUGCAGCUGUUGCCAGCCAGACAUCACUUCAAUCUAUUACGAUGGACUUCAGGGGAUGAACUGAUGCUAACUCCAACCAUAAGACAUUGGAUACUUCAUAUGCCACUGCCUGAACCUCGGAUUUAGGAUUGACCUCACC
Molecule: long non-coding RNA, 445 nt
Organism: Xyrauchen texanus (razorback sucker)
Lineage: Eukaryota; Metazoa; Chordata; Actinopteri; Cypriniformes; Catostomidae
Exons: 3
Source: RefSeq, a predicted model, not a curated record